Molecule: long non-coding RNA, 1250 nt
Filed under: Zea mays
Lineage: Eukaryota; Viridiplantae; Streptophyta; Magnoliopsida; Poales; Poaceae
Description: long non-coding RNA (ZMAY_LNC000162)
Source: RNAcentral
CGGAGUCUGCGUCAGCGACUCAGCACUUUCAGCAGCAAGGCCGCAAGGCCAACAGACAGCAGUCCAAGUGGCCCAGGACUGCUCACGUACAGAGUCUCAGAGUCUCGGUCAGUCUCUCUCUCACUCUCUCUUGUCUCCCAGUUUCUAACCCUAGCUGCCAAGGUCAAGCUCCCUCCCAAGUCCAAAGUCCCAAACUGCCCGUCUGCGGUGCAGGGCUGCAGGCAUCCACCUCCAUCAGGCGCUGACCCAGUUUCCGCCAUCCACCAGGCGUCCUCAGAAUACGGUGCAGGGCUGCCGAGCAGCGAGCAGCAAGCACUGAGGACCGUCGAGCACCGAGCAGCCAAGCAGCGAGCAGAGGGCAGCGACCAUCGAGCAACCGAGUCGCGAGUCUUCUCUGGUAAAUUAAACAAGCUUGAAUGAAUUAGUGUUUCGAUUUAGAGUUUUGGACAGAUUACUUGUAUGGAUUUGAAAAGAUUACUUGUAUGAAAUGUUGAAAUUGUUAUUUGAUGCUAAAAAUAUUAUUGGAAUGCUAUUGGAAUGUUAAUUUGUGAUAAAUUUCCGCUAGAAUGAUGCUGUAAUUUUAGUGGGCGUGGCGGGUAACGGAUAUCCGUUGGAUAACGGAUACUCGGUGGGUACGGGUACGGAUAUAGAUCCGUACCCACGAGCGUAAAUGGGUAUGGGUAUGGAUUGGGUUUUACUUCGCGGGUAUGGAUACGCGAAACAUAUAUCCGCGUUCUACCCGCCCGAUUACCAUCCCUAUAGAUCACCAAUUGGUUCUUCAUGACCAGCUGGAGUAUCUGGUGCCAUCGAUUGUGAUGUCGCAGUUCACAACUCCUUCGGUGUCCAAUUUUUCGUCGUAUUUUCCGUGGCUUCCUCUUCCUACAGAGAUCGAGACAAUGGUACAUAAAUAUAAUAUAAUAGACAUAACAUAUUAAUUUUACAACUGAUGCAGUAAUGGUACACACCUUUUUUGGUUCCAUUUAAAGGGCACUUGUAACUUGUUUUGCGAUGUCCCAGUUGCCCACAAUUUGGGCAAGUAUACUGUCUUUUUAGCUUUGUUGUGCCUUGUUCAUUAGCUACGACCUUAGCUUUUUCCCACUUCCUCCUUCUAGACAGCUUUUAAUUCUAUUUUUGCUUUGUCGUCCAACUCUUCUUUUAGCCAUAGGUGCACAAACUUCAGAUGAAAAAUCAACACUUGGCCAAAAAGAACGAUCCUCAAUUGGUGGCACCCUUCUCAAGUAAGCUUUCCU